This is a long non-coding RNA of Lolium rigidum, 781 nucleotides long. RefSeq lists it as uncharacterized. Lineage: Eukaryota; Viridiplantae; Streptophyta; Magnoliopsida; Poales; Poaceae. The record is from RefSeq and is a predicted model, not a curated record. The transcript is spliced from 3 exons.
UUCGUCGGUGCACAUCGAUCUGGCUACUGUGCCCCUCCAGUGGAAGCUGCACAACCCCGCUAUGUCCUCAUCUUCUCGGAAAGGGCAACUUACCAUCGGGCUCGCCUCCUGCUAAUUUCCAAGGACGAUCCUGAUGAACAUGCUGAAGAAACACACAUGCUCUCCACCUGGAGAACACUUUUAGGAUGUGCUGAGUUUUUAUAGAGCGCCUCAAGGAUGUGCUGAGUUUUUAUAGAGCGCAUCAAGGAUGUGCUACAAGAGGGGAAGGUUUUGUAUCAGGAAAUUCAUGUGCAACCCGUCUGUAGAGCGCCUUUUCAUGGUUCAGUUCACGAAGUUUAUCGUUGUUGAAGAGAGGCCUGGGUUGGAAGAUGGUUGGAAGACAACUACUCCAGUUGACAAGGAGAACAAUGAAAGGAACUAUUCUGAAGGGCAAAGAAGUAAAGCUGAAAGCUACAAGGAAGCAAUGGAGCAAUUUGAGAACGUGGCCACAGAUCUUUCGCGAGAUGCUAAAAAGGUGAUAAGAAAACAAAAGGAACACAAGAAGUUGUAGUAACUGGUGCAUUGUUUUGGUCUUCCCAAGGUUGUAAAAAGCUUGGAAUGAAUCAGGGCCCCAAUCAUACCUACAACUGAUGAAGUUUUAUGUACAUACCUAAGCUCCUGUGUUUUAUUUCUAUAUUGGGUACUGUAUGACCCUGUUUUGCUACCACUCCCUUUUGGGUGAACCUAACUAACAAACAAUGUAUUAGUUCUACUCUAUUAGCUUAUUGCUAUAAGAAAUUGC